RNAcentral lists this ribosomal RNA (917 nucleotides) under uncultured bacterium. RNAcentral's name for it is "bacterial SSU rRNA". It matches the Rfam family "Bacterial small subunit ribosomal RNA", at positions 8 to 915 of the family's 1533-position model. The record is from RNAcentral.
AGAGUUUGAUCCUGGCUCAGGAUGAACGCUAGCUACAGGCUUAACACAUGCAAGUCGAGGGGAAACGAUAGAGAAAGCUUGCUUUUUCUAGGCGUCGACCGGCGCACGGGUGAGUAACGCGUAUCCAACCUGCCCAUCACUUGGGGAUAACCUUGCGAAAGUAAGACUAAUACCCAAUGACGUCCAUAGAAGACAUCUGAAGGAGAUUAAAGAUUUAUCGGUGAUGGAUGGGGAUGCGUCUGAUUAGCUUGUUGGCGGGGUAACGGCCCACCAAGGCGACGAUCAGUAGGGGUUCUGAGAGGAAGGUCCCCCACAUUGGAACUGAGACACGGUCCAAACUCCUACGGGAGGCAGCAGUGAGGAAUAUUGGUCAAUGGACGAGAGUCUGAACCAGCCAAGUAGCGUGCAGGAUGACGGCCCUAUGGGUUGUAAACUGCUUUUAUAAGGGAAUAAAGUGAGUCUCGUGAGACUUUUUGCAUGUACCUUAUGAAUAAGGACCGGCUAAUUCCGUGCCAGCAGCCGCGGUAAUACGGAAGGUCCGGGCGUUAUCCGGAUUUAUUGGGUUUAAAGGGAGCGUAGGCCGGAGAUUAAGCGUGUUGUGAAAUGUAGACGCUCAACGCCUGCACUGCAGCGCGAACUGGUUUCCUUGAGUACGCACAAAGUGGGCGGAAUUCGUGGUGUAGCGGUGAAAUGCUUAGAUAUCACGAAGAACUCCGAUUGCGAAGGCAGCUCACUGGAGCGCAACUGACGCUGAAGCUCGAAAGUGCGGGUAUCGAACAGGAUUAGAUACCCUGGUAGUCCGCACGGUAAACGAUGGAUGCCCGCUGUUGGUCUGAAUAGGUCAGCGGCCAAGCGAAAGCAUUAAGCAUCCCACCUGGGGAGUACGCCGGCAACGGUGAAACUCAAAGGAAUUGACG